UCCUUCUUAGCUCAGUUGGUAGAGCGCGUCACUAGUAUCACAAUGUGAUCAAAUGACGAGGUCAGUCGUUCAAAUCGGCUAGCAGGAA
Crassisporium funariophilum is the source of this 88-nucleotide non-coding RNA. Lineage: Eukaryota; Fungi; Basidiomycota; Agaricomycetes; Agaricales; Crassisporiaceae. The record is from the annotation of a GenBank genome assembly.